CAUUGAAAUACUACCCGUCGGUGACUGCGACUCUCACUCCGGGAGGAGUACACCGGUAGCCGGGCAGUUUGACUGGGGCGGUACGCGCUCGAAAAGAUAUCGAGCGCGCCCGAAGAUCAUCUCAGCCGGGUCGGGAAUCCGGCGAAGAGCGCAAGAGCACAAGAUGGUCUGACAGUGUCAUUCCCAACGAGUGACGCUGACGCGAAAGCGUGGUCUAGCGAACCUACGAGGCUCCGGAAUGGGGCCCGUAGAUGACAGAAAAGCUACCUUAGGGAUAACAGAGUCGUCACCCGCAAGAGCACAUAUCGACCGGGNGAGGUUGUUCGCCUAUUAAAGGAGGUCGUGAGCUGGGUUUAGACCGUCGUGAGACAGGUCGGCUGCUAUCUAUUGGGGGUGUCAAGGUACUUGACGUGAACGAACGUAUAGUACGAGAGGAACUACGUUUGGUCGCCACUGGUGUACCGGUUGUGUGAGAACGCAAUGCCGGGUAGCCACGCGACACGGGGUAAGAGCUGAACGCAUCUAAGCUCGAAACCCACAUGGAAAAGAAGUACCGAUGAGGUCACUCGUAGAAGACGAGUUCGAUAGACUCGGGAUGUACGCACCGAGGCAACGAGGUGUUGAGUCCACGAGCACUAACAGACCGAAGCCA
This 652-nucleotide ribosomal RNA is filed under the name Halorubrum saccharovorum DSM 1137. RNAcentral describes it as "bacterial LSU rRNA". It matches the Rfam family "Archaeal large subunit ribosomal RNA", at positions 2267 to 2987 of the family's 2987-position model. The record is from RNAcentral. Lineage: Archaea; Methanobacteriati; Methanobacteriota; Halobacteria; Halobacteriales; Haloferacaceae.